GAGUUUGAUCAUGGCUCAGGAUGAACGCUAGCGGCAGGCUUAACACAUGCAAGUCGAGGGGUAUUCUAGCAAUAGGAGAGACCGGCGCACGGGUGCGUAACGCGUAUGCAAUCUACCUUUCACAGAGGGAUAGCCCAGAGAAAUUUGGAUUAAUACCUCAUAGUAUAAUGACUCGGCAUCGAGAUAUUAUUAAAGUCACAACGGUGAAAGAUGAGCAUGCGUCCCAUUAGCUAGUUGGUAAGGUAACGGCUUACCAAGGCGACGAUGGGUAGGGGUCCUGAGAGGGAGAUCCCCCACACUGGUACUGAGACACGGACCAGACUCCUACGGGAGGCAGCAGUGAGGAAUAUUGGACAAUGGGUG
This 363-nucleotide ribosomal RNA is filed under the name uncultured bacterium. Its description in RNAcentral is "bacterial SSU rRNA". It matches the Rfam family "Bacterial small subunit ribosomal RNA", at positions 9 to 377 of the family's 1533-position model. The record is from RNAcentral.